RNAcentral lists this ribosomal RNA (231 nucleotides) under uncultured bacterium. RNAcentral describes it as "partial 16S ribosomal RNA". It matches the Rfam family "Bacterial small subunit ribosomal RNA", at positions 524 to 753 of the family's 1533-position model. The record is from RNAcentral.
UACGUAGGGCGCAAGCGUUGUCCGGAAUUAUUGGGCGUAAAGAGCUCGUAGGCGGUUUGUCGCGUCUGCUGUGAAAACCUAAGGCUCAACCUUGGGCUUGCAGUGGGUACGGGCAGACUAGAGUGCGGUAGGGGAGACUGGAAUUCCUGGUGUAGCGGUGAAAUGCGCAGAUAUCAGGAGGAACACCGAUGGCGAAGGCAGGUCUCUGGGCCACUACUGACGCUGGAGAAG